CCGUAGUCAUCUCUUUGUCGUAGUAUUGCGCAUGUUACCAAAAUAAGCAAGUAACAUGAUACACAUAUCGCUGGUAGACUAAUUAAGUGGGGCUUAUUGAAUCAAAUAUUUGUUAGAAUUCAAGAUUUAAGUAAAUCCAAAAAAACCGAGAUUCGAGUAAAUCCUAAAAAGAUUUGUUACAAGUUUUAAGAUUUUUUUUAAGACAUUUCAAAGUUUUUGAAAAAAAUUAAAAUUUUAAAUAUUAUUUUUAUUUUUAAAUUACUAUAAUUUGUAUUUUUAUCAUUUAUGAAAUAUAUAAAAUAUAUAAAAGUUUUAAAAUUUAAUUUUUCAAAUAACUUAAUUUUUAUUUUUUUCAUUUAAAUAGAUUGAUUUUCUUUUAAAAAUGUGAAGUAAUUUUUUUUAUUUUUUUUUUUAAGUUUCAAAUACCAUUAUAGGAGGUGAUAUUUCAAUUCUUUGUUUUUCCACUAUGAAAUAUCAUCCAAAGUCCACCAAAUCUCAUUUGAUAAAUUUUAUUGACAAAAUCCAUAUUUUCC
This 533-nucleotide long non-coding RNA is filed under the name Brassica rapa (field mustard). Its description in RNAcentral is "long non-coding RNA (BRAP_LNC007960)". The record is from RNAcentral. Lineage: Eukaryota; Viridiplantae; Streptophyta; Magnoliopsida; Brassicales; Brassicaceae.